UACUGCAGGUGCCAACAGACGGAAGGGUGGAGCCUGCUCCUCCUUGCUGAAGCUUCUCACUCUGGUGGUCUGGUGCUGGUGAUCUCGCCCGCCUAGAUGGAUUGGCCAGCGACUGUGUAUACGGCAGCGACGCUGCUGUGCUACUACACUUGUGAUCCAAUCUAGAAGCGUUGGUCCCAAGACUAUGUGAAACUAGCGAAGAAGCAGGAGCGGACGAGAACUUUGAUGUGUGUAGCAGCCCUACAAGCCCUUUCAACUAUGGUUAUCUAUACAUCAGGUGAUCUUAUUUUGUUGCUGGAACCUGUGAGAUAAAGUUUAUGUUCUUUCAACCUGUUUAUGUGCUUUGAACCUGCAAGAUACAGUUCUGUAUAAUGUUGUCUGAUAAAGUUAUGUACUUACGUGUGAACAUGGGAGAUAAGUUAUUGAGAUGUGUUGUUUUGUAUAAUGUUACGCGAGAUAAAGUUAUGUGCUGGUAACAUGUGAGAUAAAGUUUUCUAUA
This is a long non-coding RNA of Triticum aestivum (bread wheat), 499 nucleotides long. RefSeq lists it as uncharacterized. The transcript is spliced from 2 exons. The record is from RefSeq and is a predicted model, not a curated record. Lineage: Eukaryota; Viridiplantae; Streptophyta; Magnoliopsida; Poales; Poaceae.